CAGUCGCCGCGGGAAUACAGAGGGUGCGAGCGUUAAUCGGAUUUACUGGGCGUAAAGCGUGCGUAGGCGGCUUUUUAAGUCGGAUGUGAAAUCCCUGAGCUUAACUUAGGAAUUGCAUUCGAUACUGGGAAGCUAGAGUAUGGGAGAGGAUGGUAGAAUACCAGGUGUAGCGGUGAAAUGCGUAGAGAUCUGGAGGAAUACCGAUGGCGAAGGCAGCCAUCUGGCCUAAUACUGACGCUGAGGUACGAAAGCAUGGGGAGCAAACAGGAUUAGAUACCCGUGUAGUCCCUGUCUCUUAUAC
RNAcentral lists this ribosomal RNA (301 nucleotides) under uncultured bacterium. RNAcentral's name for it is "partial 16S ribosomal RNA". It matches the Rfam family "Bacterial small subunit ribosomal RNA", at positions 509 to 807 of the family's 1533-position model. The record is from RNAcentral.